RNAcentral lists this ribosomal RNA (373 nucleotides) under uncultured organism. RNAcentral's name for it is "partial 16S ribosomal RNA". It matches the Rfam family "Bacterial small subunit ribosomal RNA", at positions 527 to 896 of the family's 1533-position model. The record is from RNAcentral.
GUAGGUGGCAAGCGUUGUCCGGAAUUAUUGGGCGUAAAGCGCGCGCAGGCGGUUCCUUAAGUCUGAUGUGAAAGCCCACGGCUCAACCGUGGAGGGUCAUUGGAAACUGGAGAACUUGAGUACAGAAGAGGAAAGCGGAAUUCCACGUGUAGCGGUGAAAUGCGUAGAGAUGUGGAGGAACACCAGUGGCGAAGGCGGCUUUCUGGUCUGUAACUGACGCUGAGGCGCGAAAGCGUGGGGAGCAAACAGGAUUAGAUACCCUGGUAGUCCACGCCGUAAACGAUGAGUGCUAAGUGUUAGGGGGGUUUCCGCCCCCCUUAGUGCUGCAGCUAACGCAUUAAGCACUCCGCCUGGGAGUACGGCCGCAAGGCUG